This 207-nucleotide ribosomal RNA is filed under the name uncultured bacterium. Its description in RNAcentral is "partial 16S ribosomal RNA". It matches the Rfam family "Bacterial small subunit ribosomal RNA", at positions 568 to 774 of the family's 1533-position model. The record is from RNAcentral.
CGCGUAGGCGGACUGGAAAGUUGGGGGCGAAAUCCCGGGGCUCAACCCCGGAACUGCCUCCAAAACUAUCAGUCUAGAGUUCGAGAGAGGUGAGUGGAAUUCCGAGUGUAGAGGUGAAAUUCGUAGAUAUUCGGAGGAACACCAGUGGCGAAGGCGGCUCACUGGCUCGAUACUGACGCUGAGGUGCGAAAGUGUGGGGAGCAAACA